This 248-nucleotide long non-coding RNA is filed under the name Linum usitatissimum (flax). Its description in RNAcentral is "long non-coding RNA (LUSI_LNC006466)". The record is from RNAcentral. Lineage: Eukaryota; Viridiplantae; Streptophyta; Magnoliopsida; Malpighiales; Linaceae.
GGAGGUAGGAAACUUAAACAGAGGAAAUAUAGAAGAAGCCAGUGACUUAUACCUGGUUCAUAAUUCAAAUCCUUUGAAUUACGUACGAUCUCAACUCGGAAGUUACUACCGGAUUUCUCAAGGAUUAUUUCUGGUGAGGGUCUCCUGCGUAUCUGACCGGGUUAGACGUUCCAUUAUGAGUUUAUUAUUAUUAAGGCUAUAUGCAUGAUAGGGUAAUGUCCGUUUAAUCUUAAGAUUUUAUAUGCUUC